AGCGCGCAGCGCCGUCACCUCCUGCCCCGCCGCCUGCAGCGCCCCGUCGAUGCGCAGCGCCAGCUGCUUGUUGUCGUCCAUCAUGUGCAGGAUUUUGGCCUGGGGGAGGGAGGAAGAGGAGGAGAGAGGGGCUGUCAAGACGGGGUGCUGGGAUGUGGCUCUGCAGAAGCAGAGGGGUUUGGCUUGAGUGUCCCCAGAGAGCUUUUAGGAACAGAUAUCAGCCAGCUCUCCAAGAGUGAAAAGGUACCAAGUCCUUGUCAAGCAGCAUCUAGACCUUGUAAUCUGUAAAAGGAUUUUGCAAACCGAAGAUAAUCCAGUAUUUAGAUACAUGGUAUGGUGGAUUUUGAAGGGAAAGUUAUUUUUCACUGAGAGUUUCCAGCAGUGUCUGCAACCCAAGCACUAGUGCUGGGCAAGGGCACUUGAAAUACCAGUGGGAAGGUCUGUUUUCCUUAAUGAAUUCCCAACGGAUGGACAAACAACCCUCAAGGAGAAUUUGAGAUUCUUUCUUCAUCAUCUAUGCAGCCAUCCCUGAAUGAGAUAAAGUCCUUUAAGUGUAUAUAGAAACUGAAUUCUAAGCAAAUAAAUGCUCUGUUUCAUGCCUUA
Molecule: long non-coding RNA, 603 nt
Organism: Neopsephotus bourkii (Bourke's parrot)
Lineage: Eukaryota; Metazoa; Chordata; Aves; Psittaciformes; Psittacidae
Exons: 3
Source: RefSeq, a predicted model, not a curated record